AUAAUAAUUACCACCAUUUUUA
This 22-nucleotide non-coding RNA is filed under the name Plasmodium falciparum 3D7. The record is from RNAcentral. Lineage: Eukaryota; Apicomplexa; Aconoidasida; Haemosporida; Plasmodiidae.